UAUACGACCGUACCGCAAACCGACACUGGUGCGCGAGAUGAGUAUUCUAAGGCGCUUGAGAGAACUCAGGAGAAGGAACUCGGCAAAUUGACACCGUAACUUCGGAAGAAGGUGUGCCCUAUUAGUGUGUAGUGAACAACGAAGCAUGAAUGGGUUGCAAAAAAUCGGUGGCUGCGACUGUUUGUUAAAAACACAGCACUCUGCAAACACGAAAGUGGACGUAUAGGGUGUGACGCCUGCCCGGUGCUGGAAGAUUAAAUGAUGGGGUGCAAGCUCUUGAUUGAAGUCCCAGUAAACGGCGGCCGUAACUAUAACGGUCCUAAGGUAGCGAAAUUCCUUGUCGGGUAAGUUCCGACCUGCACGAAUGGCGUAGCGAUGGCCACACUGUCUCCUCCUGAGACUCAGCGAAGUUGAAAUGUUUGUGAUGAUGCAAUCUCCCCGCGGAAAGACGGAAAGACCCCAUGAACCUUUACUGUAGCUUUGUAUUGGACUUUGAACAGAUCUGUGUAGGAUAGGUGGGAGGCUUUGAAGCAGGGUCGCUAGAUCUUGUGGAGCCAACGUUGAAAUACCACCCUGGUGUGUUUGAGGUUCUAACCUAGGUCCAUUAUCUGGAUCGGGGACAGUGCAUGGUAGGCAGUUUGACUGGGGCGGUCUCCUCCCAAAGCGUAACGGAGGAGUUCGAAGGUACGCUAGUUACGGUCGGACAUCGUGACGAUAGUGCAAUGGCACAAGCGUGCUUAACUGCGAGACUGACAAGUCGAGCAGAUGCGAAAGCAGGACAUAGUGAUCCGGUGGUUCUGUAUGGAAGGGCCAUCGCUCAACGGAUAAAAGGUACUCUGGGGAUAACAGGCUGAUACCGCCCAAGAGUUCAUAUCGACGGCGGUGUUUGGCACCUCGAUGUCGGCUCAUCUCAUCCUGGGGCUGUAGCCGGUCCCAAGGGUAUGGCUGUUCGCCAUUUAAAGAGGUACGUGAGCUGGGUUUAAAACGUCGUGAGACAGUUUGGUCCCUAUCUUCCGUGGGCGCUGCAGAUUUGAGGAAGCCUGCUCCUAGUACGAGAGGACCGGAGUGGACACACCUCUGGUGUAUCGGUUGUCACGCCAGUGGCAUUGCCGAGUAGCUAAGUGUGGAAGAGAUAACCGCUGAAAGCAUCUAAGCGGGAAACUCGUUUCAAGAUGAGAUCUGCCGGGGCCUUGAGCCCCCUAAAGAGUCGUUCAAGACCAGGACGUUGAUAGGUCAGGUGUGGAAGC
Molecule: ribosomal RNA, 1247 nt
Filed under: metagenome
Description: bacterial LSU rRNA
Rfam family: Bacterial large subunit ribosomal RNA
Source: RNAcentral